RNAcentral lists this non-coding RNA (30 nucleotides) under Rattus norvegicus (Norway rat). The record is from RNAcentral. Lineage: Eukaryota; Metazoa; Chordata; Mammalia; Rodentia; Muridae.
ACCAAACUCAAGUUCUCCUCAAACUACACU